This 76-nucleotide transfer RNA is filed under the name Candidatus Auribacterota bacterium. Its description in RNAcentral is "tRNA-Lys". It matches the Rfam family "tRNA". From Rfam's summary of the family: Transfer RNA (tRNA) molecules are approximately 80 nucleotides in length. Their secondary structure includes four short double-helical elements and three loops (D, anti-codon, and T loops). Further hydrogen bonds mediate the characteristic L-shaped molecular structure. tRNAs have two regions of fundamental functional importance: the anti-codon, which is responsible for specific mRNA codon recognition, and the 3' end, to which the tRNAs corresponding amino acid is attached (by aminoacyl-tRNA synthetases). tRNAs cope with the degeneracy of the genetic code in two manners: having more than one tRNA (with a specific anti-codon) for a particular amino acid; and 'wobble' base-pairing, i.e. permitting non-standard base-pairing at the 3rd anti-codon position. The record is from RNAcentral. Lineage: Bacteria; Pseudomonadati; Candidatus Auribacterota.
GCCCCAAUAGCUCAGUCGGCAGAGCAACUGACUCUUAAUCAGUGGGUCCUAGGUUCGAAUCCUAGUUGGGGCACCA